ACAUACGACCAUAGGGUGUGGAAAACAGGGCUUCCCGUCCGCUCAGCCGUAUUUAAGCCACACGCCGGUGAGUUAGUAGUUGGGUGGGUGACCACCAGCGAAUCCUCACUGUUGUAUGUU
This is a ribosomal RNA of Penicillium nalgiovense, 120 nucleotides long. Lineage: Eukaryota; Fungi; Ascomycota; Eurotiomycetes; Eurotiales; Aspergillaceae. The record is from Rfam.